GGGUUGUGAGGUUAAGCGACUAAGCGUACACGGUGGAUGCCCUGGCAGUCAGAGGCGAUGAAGGACGUGCUAAUCUGCGAAAAGCGUCGGUAAGGUGAUAUGAACCGUUAUAACCGGCGAUGUCCGAAUGGGGAAACCCAGUGCAAUUCGUUGCACUAUCGUUAACUGAAUACAUAGGUUAACGAGGCGAACCGGGGGAACUGAAACAUCUAAGUACCCCGAGGAAAAGAAAUCAACCGAGAUUCCCCCAGUAGCGGCGAGCGAACGGGGAGCAGCCCAGAGUCUGAAUCAGCUUGUGUGUUAGUGGAACGGUCUGGAAAGUCCGACGGUACAGGGUGAUAGUCCCGUACACCAAAAUGCACAGGCUGUGAACUCGAAGAGUAGGGCGGGACACGUGGUAUCCUGUCUGAAUAUGGGGGGACCAUCCUCCAAGGCUAAAUACUCCUGACUGACCGAUAGUGAACCAGUACCGUGAGGGAAAGGCGAAAAGAACCCCGGCGAGGGGAGUGAAAAAGAACCUGAAACCGUGUACGUACAAGCAGUGGGAGCACCUUCGGGUGUGACUGCGUACCUUUUGUAUAAUGGGUCAGCGACUUAUAUUCUGUAGCAAGGUUAACCGUAUAGGGGAGCCGCAGGGAAACCGAGUCUUAACUGGGCGUUAAGUUGCAGGGUAUAGACCCGAAACCCGGUGAUCUAGCCAUGGGCAGGUUGAAGGUUGGGUAACACUAACUGGAGGACCGAACCGACUAAUGUUGAAAAAUUAGCGGAUGACUUGUGGCUGGGGGUGAAAGGCCAAUCAAACCGGGAGAUAGCUGGUUCUCCCCGAAAGCUAUUUAGGUAGCGCCUCGUGAACUCAUCUUCGGGGGUAGAGCACUGUUUCGGCUAGGGGGUCAUCCCGACUUACCAACCCGAUGCAAACUACGAAUACCGAAGAAUGUUAUCACGGGAGACACACGGCGGGUGCUAACGUCCGUCGUGAAGAGGGAAACAACCCAGACCGCCAGCUAAGGUCCCAAAGUCACAGUUAAGUGGGAAACGAUGUGGGAAGGCACAGACAGCCAGGAUGUUGGCUUAGAAGCAGCCAUCAUUUAAAGAAAGCGUAAUAGCUCACUGGUCGAGUCGGCCUGCGCGGAAGAUGUAACGGGGCUAAACUGUGCACCGAAGCUGCGGCAGCGACACUAUGUGUUGUUGGGUAGGGGAGCGUUCUGUAAGCCUGCGAAGGUGGCCUGUGAGGGUUGCUGGAGGUAUCAGAAGUGCGAAUGCUGACAUAAGUAACGAUAAUGCGGGUGAAAAGCCCGCACGCCGGAAGACCAAGGGUUCCUGUCCAACGUUAAUCGGGGCAGGGUGAGUCGACCCCUAAGGCGAGGCCGAAAGGCGUAGUCGAUGGGAAACAGGUUAAUAUUCCUGUACUUGGUGUUACUGCGAAGGGGGGACGGAGAAGGCUAUGUUAGCCGGGCGACGGUUGUCCCGGUUUAAGCAUGUAGGCGGAGGUUCCAGGUAAAUCCGGUACCUUUUUAACGCUGAGGUGUGAUGACGAGGCACUACGGUGCUGAAGUAACAAAUGCCCUGCUUCCAGGAAAAGCCUCUAAGCAUCAGGUAACAUUGAAUCGUACCCCAAACCGACACAGGUGGUCAGGUAGAGAAUACCAAGGCGCUUGAGAGAACUCGGGUGAAGGAACUAGGCAAAAUGGUGCCGUAACUUCGGGAGAAGGCACGCUGAUAUGUAGGUGAAGCCCCUGCGGGUGGAGCUGAAAUCAGUCGAAGAUACCAGCUGGCUGCAACUGUUUAUUAAAAACACAGCACUGUGCAAACACGAAAGUGGACGUAUACGGUGUGACGCCUGCCCGGUGCCGGAAGGUUAAUUGAUGGGGUUAUCCGUAAGGAGAAGCUCUUGAUCGAAGCCCCGGUAAACGGCGGCCGUAACUAUAACGGUCCUAAGGUAGCGAAAUUCCUUGUCGGGUAAGUUCCGACCUGCACGAAUGGCGUAAUGAUGGCCAGGCUGUCUCCACCCGAGACUCAGUGAAAUUGAACUCGCUGUGAAGAUGCAGUGUACCCGCGGCAAGACGGAAAGACCCCGUGAACCUUUACUAUAGCUUGACACUGAACAUUGAGCCUUGAUGUGUAGGAUAGGUGGGAGGCUUUGAAGCGUGGACGCCAGUCUGCGUGGAGCCAACCUUGAAAUACCACCCUUUAAUGUUUGAUGUUCUAACGUUGGCCCCUGACCGGGGUUGCGGACAGUGUCUGGUGGGUAGUUUGACUGGGGCGGUCUCCUCCCAAAGAGUAACGGAGGAGCACGAAGGUUAGCUAAUCCUGGUCGGACAUCAGGAGGUUAGUGCAAUGGCAUAAGCUAGCUUGACUGCGAGCGUGACGGCGCGAGCAGGUGCGAAAGCAGGUCAUAGUGAUCCGGUGGUUCUGAAUGGAAGGGCCAUCGCUCAACGGAUAAAAGGUACUCCGGGGAUAACAGGCUGAUACCGCCCAAGAGUUCAUAUCGACGGCGGUGUUUGGCACCUCGAUGUCGGCUCAUCACAUCCUGGGGCUGAAGUAGGUCCCAAGGGUAUGGCUGUUCGCCAUUUAAAGUGGUACGCGAGCUGGGUUUAGAACGUCGUGAGCCAGUUCGGUCCCUAUCUGCCGUGGGCGCUGGAGAAUUGAGGGGGGCUGCUCCUAGUACGAGAGGACCGGAGUGGACGCAUCACUGGUGUUCGGGUUGUCAUGCCAAUGGCAUUGCCCGGUAGCUAAAUGCGGAAGAGAUAAGUGCUGAAAGCAUCUAAGCACGAAACUUGCCCCGAGAUGAGUUCUCCCUGAGACUUUAAGUCUCCUGAAGGAACGUUAAAGACGAUGACGUUGAUAGGUCGGGUGUGUAAGCGUAGCGAUACGUUGAGCUAACCGAUACUAAUGAACCGUGAGGCUUAACCUUACAACGCCGAAGGUGUUU
RNAcentral lists this ribosomal RNA (2932 nucleotides) under Klebsiella aerogenes. RNAcentral's name for it is "23S ribosomal RNA". It matches the Rfam family "Bacterial large subunit ribosomal RNA". Lineage: Bacteria; Pseudomonadati; Pseudomonadota; Gammaproteobacteria; Enterobacterales; Enterobacteriaceae. The record is from RNAcentral.